CGCUCAGAUUGAACGCUGGCGGCAGGCCUAACACAUGCAAGUCGAGCGGAUGAGUGGAGCUUGCUCCAUGAUUCAGCGGCGGACGGGUGAGUAAUGCCUAGGAAUUUGCCUAUUAGUGGGGGGCAACGUUUCGAAAGGAACGCUAAUACCGCAUACGUCCUACGGGAGAAAGCAGGGGACCUUCGGGCCUUGCGCUAAUAGAUGAGCCUAGGUCGGAUUAGCUAGUUGGUGAGGUAAUGGCUCACCAAGGCGACGAUCCGUAACUGGUCUGAGAGGAUGAUCAGUCACACUGGAACUGAGACACGGUCCAGACUCCUACGGGAGGCAGCAGUGGGGAAUAUUGGACAAUGGGCGAAAGCCUGAUCCAGCCAUGCCGCGUGUGUGAAGAAGGUCUUCGGAUUGUAAAGCACUUUAAGUUGGGAGGAAGGGCAUUAACCUAAUACGUUAGUGUUUUGACGUUACCGACAGAAUAAGCGCC
RNAcentral lists this ribosomal RNA (478 nucleotides) under uncultured Gammaproteobacteria bacterium. Its description in RNAcentral is "bacterial SSU rRNA". It matches the Rfam family "Bacterial small subunit ribosomal RNA", at positions 21 to 494 of the family's 1533-position model. Lineage: Bacteria; Pseudomonadati; Pseudomonadota; Gammaproteobacteria. The record is from RNAcentral.